RNAcentral lists this long non-coding RNA (1267 nucleotides) under Equus caballus (horse). RNAcentral's name for it is "lncRNA (ENSECAG00000060223.1)". The record is from RNAcentral. Lineage: Eukaryota; Metazoa; Chordata; Mammalia; Perissodactyla; Equidae.
GGCUCGGGUGUUCAGGGACAUCUGCGCACAACAGAGCGUGUGCAGGAGCUGAGGCAGACGCAAGGCUGGGACGCCUGUGGAGGAGCCCUCGUGCACACACGUGAGCGUGGGACACCUGUUCAGGAAAUAGUUCAAACGUGAAAAAUGCGGAGAGUACAACACGAUGACCUCCCACGGGCAACACCUGGCCUCCGCAGCGCCAGAAGUGGAUGGAAGCCUUCAGAGGCUGCCGCGGAGCCCCCAGACUAUCGGUGCCGCCCCUCUGCAGUCCCGGCCCUGCCCGCCCCAUCGUCACAUGGACCAGAACAGUCUCUGCCGGGCCGAUGGCUGUGGAAGUGGCCCUGCUCUAGGAGGCGGGGGACAGGCCCCACCUCAUUUCCCGGUUUGGGGAGGUCAAAGCUCGGCCGCAGGACUUCUCACCUGCCCUCGUCUCUGCCCAGAGGGCUGGUGGGACCCAGUCGCUCUGCUCCGUGAUUCUGAAAGUUUACAACUUUUUUUUCAUUGUUACUUGUUUCUUGCACACAGUAACAGUAAAAAUAAACGUAUAGUUCUAUGUUUUGAAAAACACACACAGUUGUGUAACCCCCACCCCAGUCAAAAUACAGAAGAGUUGCACCUGCCAGAGCCUUAUCCCCUUACAGCAGUCCCUCACACCCCGCUCCCGCCAACCGCCGGUCUGUGCCCUGUCCCCAUAGUUCUGCAUCAUCUCGAUGUCACAUAAAUGGCAUCAGGCUGCGUGUAGCCUUUCAAGCAAGGCUCCUUUCCCGGGCAACAUGCCUUUGAGACUCGCCCACGUUGCGUGCGCAUCUCUUUGGGCUCCUUCUGUCACUGCAUGGAUGUGCCACUGUGUUUAUCUCGUCACCAGCUGAGGGACGUUUGGGUUGUUUCCAGUUUUUGGUGAUGAUGAAUAAAGCUGUGGCAAACAUUCAUUUAUGGGUUUUUGUGUGAACCUAGGUUUUUAUUUCUCCUGAGUAAACGCCUAGCUGUGGAAUGUUCGGGCCGCAUGAUAAGCGUGUGUUUAACUGUACAAGUACCUGCAAACCGUCGUCCAGCGUGGCUGUACCAGUCCGCAGUCCCACUCGACUCGGCGUUUUUAUUCUUUCUGUCAACACAUUCCUAUCAGGCCCUGUGCCAGACCAAGGACCCGAGUGGCCAAGACAAGCAAGGUCCUGCUCUCCUGGGACUGCCAGCCCGCUGUGGGAAACGUCUUGGUCCGGUGAUGCCCGGCGGUGGGCAGCGGGCGCGCGGUGCCAGGGGCCGAACCGCC